GAGAGUCCCUACCGGAAGUGUGGCAGAAAGGAGCCAUGUGGAGUCUCAGGGUAGCUUGUCGCAACGCUGCGUUGCGCCUAGAGGGCAGGCGAGCCGUUUUCCCUUCUUUUCCUCUUUUUCCUUCCCUGGGUCAGGCCGUCGCAUGUAAGGGCGCCGAGGGGCAGUUGCUGCCCAGGCGGCUCGGCCUCGUGGUCAGCUGAGGAUGAGGUUAAGAUGGACGCGUUACCGGUUGCCACUGAAAUAUUUUGUGUUUAAAAUGUGGUUGCGUGUCCGGAGAUGUAAAAUUACUCAUUU
RNAcentral lists this long non-coding RNA (294 nucleotides) under Mus musculus (house mouse). RNAcentral's name for it is "long non-coding RNA chr3:138143907-138144201". The record is from RNAcentral. Lineage: Eukaryota; Metazoa; Chordata; Mammalia; Rodentia; Muridae.